GAGUGGCGAACGGGUGAGUAAUAUAUCGGAACGUACCAUUCAGUGGGGGAUAACGUAGCGAAAGUUACGCUAAUACCGCAUAUUCUGUGAGCAGGAAGCAGGGGAUCGCAAGACCUUGCGCUGAUUGAGCGGCCGAUAUCAGAUUAGCUUGUUGGUGAGGUAAAAGCUCACCAAGGCGACGAUCUGUAGCGGGUCUGAGAGGAUGAUCCGCCACACUGGAACUGAGACACGGUCCAGACUCCUACGGGAGGCAGCAGUGGGGAAUUUUGGACAAUGGGGGCAACCCUGAUCCAGCCAUGCCGCGUGAGUGAAGAAGGCCUUCGGGUUGUAAAGCUCUUUCAGCCGGGAAGAAAACGCAUGGGUUAAUACCCUGUGUGGAUGACGGUACCGGAAUAAGAAGCACCGGCUAACUACGUGCCAGCAGCCGCGGUAAUACGUAGGGUGCGAGCGUUAAUCGGAAUUACUGGGCGUAAAGCGUGCGCAGGCGGUUUUGUAAGACAGGCGUGAAAUCCCCGGGCUUAACCUGGGAACUGCGUUUGUGACUGCAAGGCUAGAGUACGGCAGAGGGGGGUGGAAUUCCACGUGUAGCAGUGAAAUGCGUAGAGAUGUGGAGGAACACCAAUGGCGAAGGCAGCCCCCUGGGUCGAUACUGACGCUCAUGCACGAAAGCGUGGGUAGCAAACAGGAUUAGAUACCCUGGUAGUCCACGCCCUAAACGAUGUCAACUAGGUGUUGGGAGGGUAAAACCUUUUAGUACCGGAGCUAACGCGUGAAGUUGACCGCCUGGGGAGUACGGCCGCAAGGUUAAAACUCAAAGGAAUUGACGGGGACCCGCACAAGCGGUGGAUGAUGUGGAUUAAUUCGAUGCAACGCGAAAAACCUUACCUACCCUUGACAUGCCAAGAACUUUCCAGAGAUGGAUGGUGCCCGAAAGGGAACUUGGACACAGGUGCUGCAUGGCUGUCGUCAGCUCGUGUCGUGAGAUGUUGGGUUAAGUCCCGCAACGAGCGCAACCCUUGUCGUUAAUUGCCAUCAUUUAGUUGGGCACUUUAACGAGACUGCCGGUGACAAACCGGAGGAAGGUGGGGAUGACGUCAAGUCCUCAUGGCCCUUAUGGGUAGGGCUUCACACGUCAUACAAUGGUCGGUACAAAGGGUCGCCAAGCCGCGAGGUGGAGCCAAUCCCAGAAAGCCGAUCGUAGUCCGGAUCGCAGUCUGCAACUCGACUGCGUGAAGUCGGAAUCGCUAGUAAUCGUGGAUCAGAAUGUCACGGUGAAUACGUUCCCGGGUCUUGUACACACCGCCCGUCACACCAUGGGAGCGGGUUCCGCCAGAAGUAGGUAGCCUAACCGCAAGGAGGGCGCUUACCACGGCGGGGUUCGUGACUGGGGUGAAGUCGAAACAAGGUA
Molecule: ribosomal RNA, 1408 nt
Filed under: metagenome
Description: bacterial SSU rRNA
Rfam family: Bacterial small subunit ribosomal RNA
Source: RNAcentral